Glycine soja is the source of this 820-nucleotide long non-coding RNA. RefSeq lists it as uncharacterized. The record is from RefSeq and is a predicted model, not a curated record. The transcript is spliced from 2 exons. NCBI's taxonomy places the organism in Eukaryota, Viridiplantae, Streptophyta, Magnoliopsida, Fabales, Fabaceae.
UCUAAACGCUCUUUCUUUCUCUCUCUCUCUCUCCAUGUCUCCGUUCAUCUCAUUCGUCAAUUAAUAACACAAAGCAACAAACAAACAAACCACACACUCUCUCUCUAACCCCAACAAACAAACCCCUUCUCUCUCUACCACCUCUACUUUCUCUCUCUAGGGUUUCAUCACGAACUCUCACUCUCGCUUUUGCUCUACUUGUCAUGAUUGUAAGGUUCCAAUCCUCGUGCGAAUUGCAUCACAGUCUGUGAUUGACCGAGUUUUGAUUCUUCCCCUUCCACGGGCUAAAGGAUUGUUGUAAUCACUGACACAAACCAAAUGUUGUUGUAGGGUGUUGAGGUUUAUUUCAUGGCAGGCUAAUGUUGUUGCUUGAUGCUUGAUGAUAGUUGCUAUGAACUUAAAUGCCCCGCCGGUUCCGGAGCAAGAUGAAGAUUUUGAGAAGAUACAUGUUGAAGAGUUUCAUGAACCUAAAGAAUGCAUAGAAACUGGAGCUGAUAUAGCACGCCGAUUACCCUUCAUAUAUAAUUUUUUGUCUUUUUAUCCCUCUUUAGCAUCAUGAAAGUGAUAGUGUUUGUUGGCUAUGUGCUUGGUGGCUUGGGCUAGGACUACUGUGACUGUUGUUUCCCAAAUUAUUGGAUAAACUGGUGAAAAUUCUUUUCAUGAUGUAGUUUCAUUAGGUCAGAUUGUGACUUUGUCAGCUUGCAACCUACAUGAUGAUGGGAUCCCAUUUUUUUUAUAAUUUUAAUUUUACUAGGGAUGAAGUGAUGCUUCAAAAAAAUAUUCUAUGACCAGUCAGUAUAACAUACUCUAUACUUUCUUU